AUGCAGAUCUUCGUGAAGACGCCGACGGGGAAGACCAUCACGGUGGAGGUGGAGAGCGGCGGCGCCGUCGACAGCCUCAAGGCCAAGAUCCACGAGAAGGAAGGUAUCCAGCCGGACCAGCAGCGCCUCAUCUUCGCGGGGAAGCAGCUCGGCGACGGCCGCACCCUGGCCGACUACAACGUCAAGAAGGAGUCCACGCUUCACCUCGUGCUGGGCCUCGCCGGCGGGGACAAGGGCUCCUGCUACCCGCCCAAGAUGGAGCCUAACCUGCUCGCGCUCGCGCUCAAGUACAGGCAGCACAGGCUUGUGUGCCGCAAGUGCUAUGCACGCCUGCCCCUCAGGUCUGCCAACUGCCGCAAGAAGAAGUGCGGCCACAGCAAUGAGAUCAGGCCCAAGGAGAAGCUGCGCUACCACUGA
This 417-nucleotide ribosomal RNA is filed under the name Triticum aestivum (bread wheat). RNAcentral's name for it is "partial small subunit ribosomal RNA". The record is from RNAcentral. Lineage: Eukaryota; Viridiplantae; Streptophyta; Magnoliopsida; Poales; Poaceae.